CCUACGGGUGGCAGCAGUGAGGAAUAUUGGUCAAUGGGCGGAAGCCUGAACCAGCCAAGUCGCGUGCAGGAUGAAGGCUCUAUGAUUUGUAAACUUCUUUUAUAUGAGAGUAAAGUUAGGAACGUGUUCCUUUUUGUAUGUACCAUAUGAAUAAGCAUCGGCUAACUCCGUGCCAGCAGCCGCGGUAAUACGGAGGAUGCGAGCGUUAUCCGGAUUUAUUGGGUUUAAAGGGUGCGUAGGUGGUUAAUUAAGUCAGAGGUGAAAGUUUGUGGCUAAACCAUAAAAUUGCCAUUGAAACUGGUUGACUUGAGUAUAUUUGAGGUAGGCGGAAUGUGUGGUGUAGCGGUGAAAUGCAUAGAGAUCACACAGAACUCCGAUUGCGAAGGCAGCUUACUAAACUAUAACUGACACUGAGGCACGAAAGCGUGGGGAGCAAACAGGAUUAGAUACCCGAGUAGUC
This 460-nucleotide ribosomal RNA is filed under the name uncultured bacterium. RNAcentral describes it as "partial 16S ribosomal RNA". It matches the Rfam family "Bacterial small subunit ribosomal RNA", at positions 338 to 795 of the family's 1533-position model. The record is from RNAcentral.